This is a non-coding RNA of Maylandia zebra (zebra mbuna), 262 nucleotides long. Lineage: Eukaryota; Metazoa; Chordata; Actinopteri; Cichliformes; Cichlidae. The record is from RefSeq and is a predicted model, not a curated record.
GCUGCAACAACAAAACGUGCUGUAUUCAGCUGACACGAUGAUGCUGCUCAUCUUCAUCUUCAGCUAUGUAGUUGGAGAGGCAGCAGAGGUGGAGGCUGAGGAUGGUGUGGCUCAUCAGAAAAAGUGCCAGUGUGUGAAGGGUGAUUCCAGCUACCUCUUAUCGAAGGAGUUGAAGCUCUUCUGUCCGGCUGUAUAUACAACAUGUCAACACACUGGACAAACAGACUCGAAAACCCCCUUGGAGCAGCAAUUGAUUUUUUAU